GUCCCUUCGAGGAUAUCUGAUAAAAUUGAAACCAUACAUAGAAGAUUAGCAUGGCCCCUGACACGCACAAAUCGAGAAAUGGUACAAAUUUUA
This 93-nucleotide small nuclear RNA is filed under the name Ipomoea nil (Japanese morning glory). Lineage: Eukaryota; Viridiplantae; Streptophyta; Magnoliopsida; Solanales; Convolvulaceae. The record is from RNAcentral.